AAAAGAGACCAAGUCCAGCCCACAAAGGGGCCAGAACAUAACUGAAAACCCUAACAGAGAAAAAAAAAAUGCUCUCUCUGUGAACAGUAGCGCGAGCACUGUAGCAGUGGCGAAAUGGACCCAUAGCCGCCGUCCGGUGGUGUUGAACCACCGGACCUAUCCCAUUUGAAGCACAAUUUAAUUCCUUACAAACCCCAGCAACAAUCAUCCAUCAAUUUUGCUCCAUCAGUGGCGAAUUUGCAGAACAAAAUUGCGUCAGUUUCAGCGAUUUCGCCUGAAGAACUGCGCAGAGCUCAGCAAAUUAUUUCCCUUGUGGAUUCUGGCCAAAUUCGUGUUCCAUCACUGCCAACUGGUGCUUCGUCACUGCCACCAGGUUACAUUAUUGCGACCAGCAGCAGCUGCUACUAUGCAGACCACGUGAGAUUAGUAUGGCAUUUCAAGUUUGCAGGAUCUGUGCCAGUUGCAUGGUACAUUACUGCAACAUUCCAAUUGAUCCAAGAGCAGGAUUAUUGGCUAAAUGAUGCAUCAAGGGAUCAAACUUGGGAUAUCAUUUGGUUGAUAAACGUGAAUGGCAACAGAAUUUUAACUCAAUUACAACAAGAGGUUACAUUAUUUUAUACAAGUUUUUAUUUAUUGAUAAUUGCUCAGUGUGUGGUAUUAGCACUUGGUGCUCAUUCCAUUGAGAGAUCGUCGAUAAAUGAAACUUGUAUGCUAUAGAGAUAUGAAGCGUUGAUACGACCAGCAGCAGCAGCUACACAAUAUGCAGGCCAAGCGCACACAGUAGAAAAUUCAGCAGCGGAGGAGGAAUUUGUGGCUAUUCUUAGAAGGAAGGAAUUCAUCAAGGUUGAAACCAUUAUUGGCCUUUUGGUGAUACAAGAACCUGUGGACUUGGAAGCACAAGUUGGCAACGUUUUGAGGGAAAAAAAAGUAUUUGUUCACUUCAGAAGAAAGUACUUUUUUUAUCACUUAAAAAAAAAAAAGUACUUUGUUUCAAUUAAUACUUUUUGAGAGGAAAAAAGUAUUUUUCUACUUCAGAAUACUUUGUUUCAAUUAAUAUUUUUUGAGAGGAAAAAAAAAAGUUCUUUUUCUACUUCAGCAGAAAGUACUUUUUUAUCACUUAAAAAAAAAAAUUACUUUGUUUCAAUUAAUACUUUUAGUCAUUUUAGAGGCUUAAAAAAAAAAAAAAAAAAAAAAAAAAAAAAGAA
Long non-coding RNA from Lycium barbarum (goji berry), 1205 nucleotides. RefSeq lists it as uncharacterized. The record is from RefSeq and is a predicted model, not a curated record. The transcript is spliced from 2 exons. NCBI's taxonomy places the organism in Eukaryota, Viridiplantae, Streptophyta, Magnoliopsida, Solanales, Solanaceae.